UGGGGAAUAUUGGACAAUGGGCGCAAGCCUGAUCCAGCAAUGCCGCGUGGGUGAAGAAGGUCUUCGGAUUGUAAAGCCCUUUCGACGGGGACGAUGAUGACGGUACCCGUAGAAGAAGCCCCGGCUAACUUCGUGCCAGCAGCCGCGGUAAUACGAAGGGGGCUAGCGUUGCUCGGAAUGACUGGGCGUAAAGGGCGCGUAGGCGGUUUGUACAGUUGGGCGUGAAAUUCCUGGGCUUAACCUGGGGGCUGCGUUCAAUACGUGCGGACUUGAGUUUGGAAGAGGGUCGUGGAAUUCCCAGUGUAGAGGUGAAAUUCGUAGAUAUUGGGAAGAACACCGGUGGCGAAGGCGGCGACCUGGUCCGAUACUGACGCUGAGGCGCGAAAGCGUGGGGAGCAAACAGGAUUAGAUACCCUGGUAGUCCACGCUGUAAACGAUGUGCGCUGGAUGUUGGGCGACCUAGUCGCUCAGUGUCGUAGCUAACGCGAUAAGCGCACCGCCUGGGGAGUACGGCCGCAAGGUUG
Molecule: ribosomal RNA, 524 nt
Filed under: uncultured bacterium
Lineage: Bacteria
Description: bacterial SSU rRNA
Rfam family: Bacterial small subunit ribosomal RNA
Source: RNAcentral